Molecule: long non-coding RNA, 2616 nt
Filed under: Anolis carolinensis (green anole)
Lineage: Eukaryota; Metazoa; Chordata; Lepidosauria; Squamata; Anolidae
Description: lncRNA (ENSACAG00000039834.1)
Source: RNAcentral
UUUAAAAGAAUAGCCAACGGAGUCACAAUGUUUUCAGUAGAUGUAUUUCCUUCAGAUAUAACUGGGAGGUAAUUGUAUACAGCGUAAACAAUUUCAAUUGGUGAAUAGAUCUCUUGUUGAAUGGAUCUUGGCCUUGUUUGUAAUUCUAAUGGUUGUGUGAUCCUAUAUGGUACUACAGUUGGCCUUUCGUAUCUAUGGAUUCAACUAUCCAUAACUUGAAAAUAUUUUUUCCAAAUAAUUUAUAUUAACCAUUUACUAGGAGAGUAGGGGGUAGGGGUAAAAGCGAAAUAAAAAUAAAAAUGUGAGGAUAAUAAAUUAGUUAUUCGUUAGUUGCAUCUUUACAAAUAUCUAAUAUGUUGCAAGGAGAAAGCAAAGAGGGUGGGGGUUGUUGGAUUAUGGGGAGUUCUUUUACAAAGUUAUCAUUGUUACAACUAAGUCUUCAUCUAUAUUUCUUUAACAUACAUUUCAUAAAAUAUUGAAGAUUCUAGACAUUUUAAUUUUAAGUCCAUUGGUGGUGUCUUCUCACAUUGUCUCCCGGUUUUCAUAAAUUCUUUUCCAGUUCUUUUUCAAUGGAAAUUGAUCUUAAUUUUUCACUACAGAUUGUUUCACAUUAAAUCUUUUCUUAAAUUAUUUAUUAUUAUCUACAAAGAAAAUUCUACAAUUUUAAUUUAAACUGUUAGUAGGUUAGUAUUUAUAUAUUUUAUCAUUAUCAUGCUUUCUAUCUUUUUGUAUUACAUCAAAUUUAUGUAAUUCCAUGUAACCAAUCAAUUUUAUUAGUAAAAUCUUUUUAGUAAAGAUUUUAAUAAUAGUCUUAUUCACAAAAUUUCUUAAAUUUUCAAUAAUUAACAUACCUGUGAUGACUCAUGGGCCUUGUAGUCCUGUUCCUAGUACUAUUGUGGCAGACGAAGAGGAAAACAUGGGAUUUUUGCCGGUUCAGCAAGAGCCGGAGUCUCUUCACCUGCAGGAUGUUGACGUUUGCCCUCAAGAAUUCAGCCAAACAGGCCUUGGGCAGAACUCCCCCCCGUUUUCCAGGAGGGAAAAUUAUUCCAAAGAUAGGGGAGUCAGGGAGGCUUCUGCGAUUAGCCUCCCUGACUCCCCUAUCUUUAGAAUAAUUUUCCCUCCUGGAAAACGGGGGGGAGUUCUGCCCACGCCUGUUUGGCUGAAUUCUUGAGGGCAAACGUCAACAUCCUGCAGGUGAAGAGACUCCAGCUCUUGCUGAACCGGCGAAAAUCCCAUGUUUUCCUCUUCGUCUGCCACAAUAGUACUAGGAACAGAACUACAAGGCCCAUGAGUCAUCACACAAACCUCCUUUGAAUAAAUCUUGCCAACACACCCUUAAAAUAGUCUUGCUAUAAAUCAGAAUCAGCUUGAAGGUACAUAAUAACAAUGAGCAAAUAUAGGGAACAUGUGGUCCAGAUGUUGAUGGACUGGAAACCCUAUCAUGCCCUACCAUAGGUCAGGCUAAGUAGGGUUUAUAGGAAUUGCAGUCCAAUACUGUUUGGAGAGCUGAGUAUUCUUCACCUUGGUAUAUGUGGAACUUUGAAAGUGUUUUAUUUGUGCAAAGGAAUUCUGGACCAGAGGAUAAAUUGUAUGGUCUUGUCCUGUUUUGUCUUUCAAGAACAGCGUUAAGACACUGUGGUAAGUAAAUGAAAACUGCUUUACUUCAGCAAAACAAAGUACUGUACCCUCAGUGAAAUAAUGCAAAAGAAAGCCAGGAGGUCUUACUUCAGACAAAGAAACAGGCAUAAAUCCAGAUGCGGACUUGGAGCAGGCAGACAGAGAGUGAAGGCAUUAGAGUCAAUUUGUUACCAGCAACAGCUGGCUGCACCUGCUUCUGCUUUUAUAGCCCUGGGUCCCCACACAGCUGCUAGGGCAGUUCCUUAUUGCUCAGCUGCAUUUCUGGCAGCUAAUCUAGCUGAAUGAUGUCUCUGCUCUGUUUCCUUUCGCCUCUCCUGGAAUGAGGGUACUAGUAAAGUCUCCUCCUCAGACUCCAACUCACCCUCAGAUUCAUGAGCACGUUCCUGCUCCUCUUCCUCUUCUGAAGAAGAGGAAUCCCUGACAGGUCUAGACUAUUAUUUGGAUCUCUGACAUUUACAAUAGGUGUGUCAAAAGUGUUAUGGAGUGGAUAGAGAGUGAGAAAGACUGACAGAGAAACUCAUUCAGAGAGAAUAAUGUGUUCAAUCUUUCUAGGCUAAUCUUGUUUGCUACCUAUCUAUUUCUUUGAUGAGGAUGAUAGACUUGGGCAGGAUGUGGUUGAACCCCAACAAAAAGCAUGCUACAUGCAUGUAGUCAAGAUAUGCUAUCUACAGAAAAUGGUUAUUUGAAACAAGGUCCAAUCUUUCCAAUUUAUAUUCACAUAACUUUGGCUAAUUUCUUGGUAUUCACCCGCAUGAGUUCAUUAUUAAUGCUGUGUAACCCUAUAAAGUCCUAAUAAUGCCAAGUCACAUUAUUUACCAAUAAAAUUUGGAAUUGUCCCCAUGGUGCCUAAACACUGCUGUGUGGCAAACUUGGUUUUAUUCAAGAACCUUGCUGUGUUCUGCACAAUCUCUUCUUAUUUCCCCUGUUCGUUUUUUAACGCUAAAAGCGAUGGAUUAUGCAUGGCAAAACACAAUGAUG